Molecule: small nucleolar RNA, 134 nt
Organism: Jaculus jaculus (lesser Egyptian jerboa)
Lineage: Eukaryota; Metazoa; Chordata; Mammalia; Rodentia; Dipodidae
Gene: SNORA72
Rfam family: Small nucleolar RNA SNORA72
About the family: U72 is a member of the H/ACA class of snoRNAs. The snoRNA gene is located in intron 4 of the ribosomal L30 protein gene in human, mouse and chicken.
Source: Ensembl
AAGCCAUUCCUCUAGCCCCCGACUUUGUAAUGAUCCAGAUAGACUAAACAUUCGCUAUAUUAUGACCAUGGAUGUGUCCCCAGACUAUGUCAUUUCUUUCCUGAGGUCUGGUUUUAUAAAUGCUAGUGAUAAAC